CAUCAGCUCCGCCCACUCAGUGACGACUCGCCUCCGAAUCGGCAGCGUGCUAGACACACUGGGCGGGACCACAAUGUUUGACUGACAUUAUACUUUAGCCAAUUAAUGCAAAGCAUUCUUCUCUUUCCUUUUUUUCGCAUUUCUUUCAUCAUGGGGGCACGGCCAUAGGAGAGGAGACGCGCGUAUAUUUUUUGAAUGACAGCAUCUUUAACGAAUUGCUGCUCUUUUUUUAGUUUGUAUGGGCGGGCUUUCUUUAGCUUCACUGGAGCGGUUAGAGGAUUUUAAAAACGGAAGAUGCUAUUGGUGGAGCACAGUGUGCGAAAUUUAAACCCCUCGCAUUUUAUUAGUGGAAAAAAAGGAGAACGUGAGAUUAGGCAGGGAAUUCCAGGCAUGUUGUGGGAGGUUUACAAAGUGUGAAGAGGCGUCCAGGGAUCCCUCUUCGUCCUGGCUUUUCAAAUAGUUCAUUAGGGACUUCCGUGUCGGCUUUGCAAUCGGAAUUAUACUUUUCAGGAUUUUGUCUUCGGCCUAGCGAUUCGAAUCGGCGAGAUCCUGGAUGGGAACUUCAGCUCUGCCUGCUUCUCCUUGAUUUUGUGCUUACAGCCUGGAAUUCUUGACCAGCACCAACACCGAGGAAUCGGACCAGAGUGACCAGGGAGCUUCUCCAUACGGCGAUCCGGGCUUCUCUGCGCCCCACUGUGAAUGUGUUUGUUGCCAUGGAGGAGAAUCCUAAAAGUGACAGCAUGAAUUUUCGCUCCGGAUGCAGACUGAUCUUGAACACGGCUUUGGAAAAGGAAUCGUCGUUCUGCGGUGUGGAUGUGGCAGCGUCUCCCAUCACCGACCUGGCCAGCAAGUUGAACAGCCUGAGCGCCUUUGCUGAAGGCGACACACCAAAGCGCCGUCUGGACCUCUCCAAUCUCAGUCAAAAU
Long non-coding RNA from Polypterus senegalus (gray bichir), 926 nucleotides. RefSeq lists it as uncharacterized. Lineage: Eukaryota; Metazoa; Chordata; Cladistia; Polypteriformes; Polypteridae. The transcript has 3 exons. The record is from RefSeq and is a predicted model, not a curated record.